GGACCGUUGCUAACCGCCGUUAGCUGUCCGAGAGACCGGGCGCGUGCUGGACGCCCAUUUUUGCCCCGAGUUUCUGAUGAUGCUGCCAGCCACACACACACACACCUGCUGCCGCCGCCGUACAGGUGCUCAGGACGUCAGAGGGACCUGCUUUUGCACGCGGACGGAGCCUCAUGGCGGGUUUCUUCAUCGCACAGCGGGACGGAGGGGUUUGAAAAGACUUUGAGAGUACAAAAGAUGGAACAUCCUACAUUCAAGCAGUCACCUAAUGGUCAGGAGAGGCAGGCCUUUUUUGGCUUCGGGGACUUUAAAUUUGAGACCCUGCAGAGCCUGUACAAUUCUUAGGACCCCUAAAAAGUUCCGAUUUGUCAACCUCCUCCAGAGGAAGGCGCCAUCUCACAGCACGCAGAUGGAGAACGCCGUCCGCUACGUCAGGAUCAGAGACAGACAGAGAGAUACUGCUGCUGCAGCUGCAUCCACCACCGCCACAGACAGAGCCACGGCCACCACCGGCGGCGGCGGCAGCAGCAGUAGCAGCACAGCCUCUGUCUCGGCCGCAAGCCAGGGAGCUAGGAGUGCAUCACAUUACGUGUUUUAUGUUAAAGCUGCCUGAAUUCGAUGUACCUGUAUGAACUUUCUGAAGACAUUUUAGUGUUUGUCCUGUUGUUACAUUAUAGAUGUUGUUGUGUGUAUGUGUGUGCCGUAGAGGAGUGUAAGUAAAAAGUGAAGUCAUAUUCAUGUAACAUAUUGUAAAUAACAAAGACUUGAAUUCUGUCAUGGUUUUGGGUUUGUAUUUGAUUAGUUCCUGUUUUAUUUUGAAAUAUUCUCCUUCCCUCGUGUAAGAUUUGCUUCCUGUCUUUGAUUCCUGUGAUUGUUUUUCACCUGUGUCUCGUUGUCUGUAAGUGUAUUUAAGUCUGUGUCUUCAUCUGUUCUGUGUGUUAAGUGUCUGGACCCUAGUGUUCUGUGGUUCUUGGAUUUAUGUGCUGUUUCUGGUGUAUUUUCAUUUAUGGACUUUUGGAUUUUGUGCUUUGGUGUCUACCUGUUGGACUUGUUUGCCUUUUUUUUUUAAAAAUGCUUUCCUGGUUGUGACUGCUGCCUACCUGUAACCCGAGUAAGUCUUGUUCUUUUUAUUAAAACUGUUUCCUGGCUUGACACUUAAACAUGACAAAUUCAUUUUUGAUUUUCCUUGUUGUUUUGCUUUAUAAAUGUUUCCGUAAUCAGAAGGACAGGAAACGUCAGGGUGGAAGCCUGGUGCAAGUCUCUAAUCAUUAACCCACACGCUGGCCAAUCACCAGUCAAAACAUCAUUAACGAGUGCACCUGCAGAUUCACAUUUUCUUUAUCGUUUCUCUAGUUACCCGCAUAACUCAUCCAGGUGCUGCCUUCAUCCCUCAGCAAGUCUAAUCUGUUAUCAUUUUGUCUCAUCCUUACUUUCUCUCUACAAACUGCCUUCUGUGCUCCUGCUCUGUUGAUGCAGCUUGGCUGAGCAUCUGCCCAUCAUUCAUCAUUCAAAUCUAAUUCUUUCAUGUUACUGAAACAUUUUAUUUCUCUUUAAGCCUCAGAUGUACAGGCUCUCUUGCUCCUGCAGCAUCCACCUUUUGCCACCACCUCAGCAGUGCCACAGAAGGGGGCUGGUGUCUGUGCUGUGCCGGGCGAGCCCACAGACGAGGAGCUGCUGGAGGCCACACGGGAGCAAGACCACCCCCUACAACCUCCAGCAGCCCUCGUCACGGUCCAGCUACAGUGUCACCAGCUUCCUCCACCAGAGGAGUUGCCCGAGCCAGCCUUCUUCCCUCCCCCACCACCUGUUGACAGUGCUGAGUUCUCUCUCCCGCUGCUACCUGAGUCCUGGCAGGCAGGAUGCCACAUCAGAUCUGGCAUCUGCAGCUGACAUAACCCCAGCCUUUGUGCAUUGGGUCCAUGACAAAGGCUGGGCUGUACAGGACCAUCCGGAGGGUCCUGGACAUCUAUGGCUGGUAUCUCAUGGCCACUGAGUACCUGGAGUGUUGUCAAUGCUGUCCUGUGACCUGAGGGUCCCGCACUCUAGGAAACAGUGCUACUCGGCUGUGCAACACUCGGACGCUUGGAUGCGGAGAGCGAUCCAGAACCUUGGCAUGUGCGAGCAGUUCCUGUCCUUGUGCUCUGUUAGGGGGCAGUUUCCACCACCGCGGCAGAUGCUCCCUCUGCUUUCACCUGUCUGGCUGCUAACGGUGUGCGGCUGGACAAGUACAAGGCCAGGAUCACAUCCACCUUAGGAUCCAUCUUGAAGAUGGAUUCAACCAAGUAG
Long non-coding RNA from Siniperca chuatsi (mandarin fish), 2286 nucleotides. RefSeq lists it as uncharacterized. NCBI's taxonomy places the organism in Eukaryota, Metazoa, Chordata, Actinopteri, Centrarchiformes, Sinipercidae. The record is from RefSeq and is a predicted model, not a curated record. The transcript is spliced from 6 exons.